This 72-nucleotide transfer RNA is filed under the name compost metagenome. Its description in RNAcentral is "tRNA-Ile". The record is from RNAcentral.
UUGGGCGGGGUCCCAGGCUAGGUGCUGGGUGAUGACCGGCGGGCGUUUACCGUUCGGAUCGGUACGCCGGAC